UGCAAUCAGCAUGCUGAUUAAGGUUGCUUGGUUUUUUACUAAACAUUAACUGAAUGAAAACGGUUAGUCCUUGUUGUUCUGCUUGGGGGGCUUUGGUGAAGCAAAUGGACUUUCAGAACAGAGAUUGUCAAUAAAGCUUUUUUCCUUCAUUAGAAUUUAUGAUCCAUAGCCAUCAUUACACUUUCACAUCUCUGAGUUUCUGUUGAAUUUUCUUUGAGAGGUUAAUAAACAUAAAGGAGGAGAAAGGAUGUCUUUGCUCUAUAGCAUGCAAAGGUUGCAGAAGAAAAAGAAACUCCUCGGUAUAAAGAAACUUGCAUUUUGGCUGUAUGCACUAUACUUCACCUGUGGCUAAAUACAGGACUCGAGAUUUCAAAGUCAUGAUGCUUCAUCCCAUGAUGCUUCAUUCCUGCUCCACCAUGAUGCUUCAUCCCUCCCUGCUCCGUCAUGAUCCAUCACAAAAUCUCCUGCUCUGGACAAUUAGGAUCUGAUCCAUUUUUGGGCAGGGGGUGGGGAGGGAGGAAGAAUGUUUGCUUCCUGAUUUCAGUGAAUAGGGAAGGAUACACAAACGUACUCAGUGAUUUACUGUAUACUCUGGCAUAUCAUGUGAGUUAAAUGGUUGUAGAAUUAUGAUUAUAAGACUUAGUGCUUGAAAAUCAAAAUUGAAGUACAGAAGUGGUAUGAUCCACAAUGACUGAUAACUUCGCUGUGGGCACUGGGCCAAAUAGGUUUAGAGGAAAUUCUGGAAAAAAAGCUGCUCCACAUUGCUCACACCAUUCAGAAUAUCAGGGUAAAUCAGAUUCAAUAAUUCAUUGGGAAGUCCUGGUCACCUAUACAGCUAUUUCACACAUGUUGAGGGCUGUGGGAGCAUCAGUGGGAAAGUCCGCUGCUGAUGAUCAACUCCUGUAGCAUAUGAGGAAUAGACACUCGGUCACCUGUGGUAGAGUAAAGAUUCACAGGUUAGCAACUGCCCCUGGUGUAAACCAUUGCCAGCUACAAUGAUAUAUGGUGCACGGC
Long non-coding RNA from Mauremys mutica (yellowpond turtle), 1014 nucleotides. RefSeq lists it as uncharacterized. The transcript is spliced from 3 exons. The record is from RefSeq and is a predicted model, not a curated record. NCBI's taxonomy places the organism in Eukaryota, Metazoa, Chordata, Testudines, Geoemydidae.